CCUAUUACCCAUUUCCACUUCACUCUCCGCCCGGUGACGAGUCAAAUCCCCAUGAAAUCCCUAGAUCUUCGCCGCGAGUGCAGCCAGUGGGAGAGUUGGCGACAGGCCGGCGAAGGGUCCCGCAGCAGUUCGACGAGGUGAGGGCGGUGCGUGCGCGCCGGAGAAGGAGGAGAAGGUAGCGGCUACGGGGAGGGGGCGGGGGGUGGAGCUGGUGGUUCUGCGCGAGGCGGCGACGACCCCGGGGGGAGACGCGAGAUCCAGCUGCUUCGACGAACCUGAGUAGGGACAGAUUUGUUUUUUCGUUGCUGAAACAUAGGAGGAAAACAAAAGCGAAAGUGGGCAAGGGCAGCUUUUUCUUUUUUUCACCAGCACCCGUGUGACAGUUUUAAAAAAAAAUGGAGGACUCCACAGAUGAACAGAAUGACGAGGGAGCAGCAAGAGUAAUACAAGGCCAUAUGCGUCUAAGGAACAAGCAAGUUCAAGAAGGUAGAAACAGAGCAUCGCCAGCAAGGCUAGUAAAGUUAAACAAGCUUGGACCAACAACGGAAGGAUCUGAUAGAAGCUUACUUUCUGGGAGGCAUACUGAAGAUCGAGGCAACAACAAUGCCUGCAAACCUCAGCAGGUGUUAUAUGCUGAUUCUCUGCUGGUUCCCAGUCCGGGCAGAGGCAUGGGACAGGAAACGUAUAGGGCAAGUCGCAAAGGCAGACAAAAAACCCAAAGGAGGAUACAGCAAGCUUAGGGUGAGCUUGUCUGCCUCCAUCUUCUUUUUAAAAGCAAGUUUUUGUUUCUUGUCCUGUUACAGUGUUAUCCAACUAGUUCAGGCAGGUGCAACACACUAGCCUUUUUUCUGUAGUUUUGUUUUCUCUUUUUCUUAACAACACUAGCCUAAUGUGCUUUUUUUCACUCACCCACCUGAGGAAGCCAAGAUACACGAGCAACGGGCGUAUGAAUGGUCUUUUGUCGGGUACGAGGAGACCGAGAAGUUUGUUUUCUCAAAGUUGCCACCCACAUUCAAAAGAAGUGUAUGAUUGCAGCAUAUAUAUGCUACACAAUACCGACAACUGGGAUGGCACCCAUGUCCUGGAGUAUAGGCCAAAU
Triticum dicoccoides is the source of this 1099-nucleotide long non-coding RNA. RefSeq lists it as uncharacterized. The record is from RefSeq and is a predicted model, not a curated record. Lineage: Eukaryota; Viridiplantae; Streptophyta; Magnoliopsida; Poales; Poaceae. The transcript is spliced from 5 exons.